Molecule: long non-coding RNA, 446 nt
Organism: Rosa rugosa (rugosa rose)
Lineage: Eukaryota; Viridiplantae; Streptophyta; Magnoliopsida; Rosales; Rosaceae
Exons: 3
Source: RefSeq, a predicted model, not a curated record
CCAGCCCUCCCCGAUUCUCUCUCUCUGUUUUCCCCUCAGACCCGGCGGGUCGAGCUCGACCCGACCCGACAUUUUCACCCUCCUCCGGCCUCCUCUGGCCACGGACCCGGCCUUCCCCGAGCUCGCCGUCGCACGCCCAGCCGUUACCUGCCACCAUCUUGCCCCGCCGCUGCCCCCAGAUGGAGAUCGAAGACGCCCCAGCCGUGUGAACCCGACCCGACCGGAAAACGACUUUUCCGGCGUUGCAUGGGCCGAUCGUCCCCAUUUUCGUGAUCUCCUCCUCAUGCUGAUCAUCCCCAUACGCACGAGAUUAAUCCAACUUCAACGCUUGAUUUAGGACGAUCUAGGCCGAACCAGGCUUAGCUCCAGGUGAUUGACGGUUUGAGUUGGUGGACGAUUGUGGAUCGUAUUUUGAGCUGAAUUGAAGACGCAGCGGGAUUAUCGAG